GUUUAAAAUACCGGUUCCCGUAGGGUCACCGAAGUUAAGCAACGUCGAGCCUGGUUAGCAGCUAGAUGAAUGACCACUUGGGAAUACCGGUUGCUGUAA
Molecule: non-coding RNA, 99 nt
Organism: Acanthosepion pharaonis
Lineage: Eukaryota; Metazoa; Mollusca; Cephalopoda; Sepiida; Sepiidae
Source: the annotation of a GenBank genome assembly